This 226-nucleotide long non-coding RNA is filed under the name Vigna radiata. RNAcentral's name for it is "long non-coding RNA (VRAD_LNC005430)". Lineage: Eukaryota; Viridiplantae; Streptophyta; Magnoliopsida; Fabales; Fabaceae. The record is from RNAcentral.
CGCACUUUAGGUCAAUGGGAAGGUUGAGAUUUAACCUUAGUCAUGUUGAUGAAGAACUAAAGUAUUAUCAUUAUUUUAAUUUUAUUUCACAAUGUUGGAAUUAGGCUUUUGGAGUAAGUUUUAAGGUUUUUAAGGUCUCAAUUUCAUAUAUUUUGGUUAACAAACUUUAAAAAUGAAUAAAUAUAGUCUUUUUAACUUUUUUAUUUUAUUUUAUUUUUUUAUCUAU